AAAUAUAUAAAUAUAGAGUUCCUGGUUUCAUUCUGAUGUGGAACAGGUUAGUGUCCCACAGGAUGGAAAGUAACUUCCUGUCCAGCUCUGCGAAUAAAUUCUUAGCAGCAAACUUAUUUCUGUGUUAUUUUUCAAGUUCAUAUAUUUUCCCUAUUCAUCUCCUGUUUUCAGGUAGACUGUGGCAGAAUUGCUUAGAGAGCUGACGCCCGCACUGAGCUCAGCACAUCCGCUUCAGCUGAGAAAGCUGAAGCCAAAAAGGUGUGAGGGGAGAUUUACUGACACACAUUGAACCCAGUGAAAUACUGAGGAAAUGAAACUAGGUUAGGUGAAUAAGGACAUGAGGUCCACUGCAUGUGUUUGGGAGGAAGGAGGAUGGAUGGGCAGGCAGAAAAGAAGGGCAGUUACCCCUCGGAGGAGGCUACUAGGGAGCUACUCAGCUCCCUAAGACUGGUAGAGCGCUUUAGGUCCCACUGCUUCAUCUCUGCUAUGGCAAAAGACGGAGCUUUCUGGAAUAUGCUGCGAUAAAUGAUGUGUGUCUGGCAUACAGGACUCCUCAUAAUUUUGUUUUUCCUCCUCUUUCCAAACUAGUCUUGUUAGUAUUGUGUAUGCAUUGGGAUAUCGUAGUCCUAAAGUCUUGUUUUUUUCCCUUUCAACUUUUUAUCCAUCCUGUUGAGCCUGGUCAAUGGAGCAGGUUGUCUUCUCAGACCAAACCACUGAAUGACAAAGUUGUUUUAUGUUUUCCUGCAGUGUCAAAGAAGGUUACAUGGAAGAGCAAGUACCAAGGAUGCAAAGCAGGGCUUCAAAAACCAAGUGCCUGUAACACAAAACUGGCUUAGACUUGUUCUGAAUCAAGGGGAGGAAAAUGAAGUGACUGGAAGUCUACAUGGAACUGCUGAUCAGGAAAUUACUGUUCUCAUGGCACCAAUCCUACUCCACUUUCUGAGCCAGUAACAAAUCAGAAAAACACUACUGAAACAGAACAUAACAGGAGAAUUGCCUAUUUGUCUGUUUAGCCAUCCCCAUAUCCAUCCUAGGUACUUCUACAACGACCAUCUCUUUAUAGCUUACGUUCUCGGGACUGGAGACUAGAAGGAUUUGAGGCUUGUCAGAUGAUGACAUCAGGAUUGAAUUGCAGAGAUUUCUGCCUUCUGAAGUGCUACAAAAGUCAUUCUGGAAUUUCUUACUGCAAUUGUUUUUUUCUUCCCUGAUUGUUAGAGCCAGCUGCAGAGCCAACCACAUCUGGUUACUCCAAGUGCAGAGGCA
Molecule: long non-coding RNA, 1263 nt
Filed under: Dromaius novaehollandiae (emu)
Lineage: Eukaryota; Metazoa; Chordata; Aves; Casuariiformes; Dromaiidae
Description: lncRNA (ENSDNVG00000016742.1)
Source: RNAcentral